RNAcentral lists this ribosomal RNA (253 nucleotides) under uncultured bacterium. RNAcentral's name for it is "partial 16S ribosomal RNA". It matches the Rfam family "Bacterial small subunit ribosomal RNA", at positions 524 to 776 of the family's 1533-position model. The record is from RNAcentral.
GACGAACCGUGCAAACGUUAUUCGGAAUCACUGGGCAUAAAGGGCGCGUAGGCGGCUCCAAAAGUCAGGGGUGAAAUCCGGCAGCUUAACUGUCGCAGUGCCUUUGAUACUGUGGAGCUAGAGGGAUGUAGGGGUCUGUGGAACUUCCGGUGGAGCGGUGAAAUGCGUUGAUAUCGGAAGGAACGCCGGUGGCGAAAGCGACGGACUGGACAUUUUCUGACGCUGAGGCGCGAAAGCCAGGGGAGCAAACGGG